RNAcentral lists this unclassified non-coding RNA (206 nucleotides) under soil metagenome. RNAcentral describes it as "partial contains 5.8S ribosomal RNA, internal transcribed spacer 2, and large subunit ribosomal RNA". The record is from RNAcentral.
AACACUGUUAACCUGCGGUACCUGCGGAAGGAUCAUUACCGAGUUUACAACUCCCAAACCCCUGUGAACAUACCUAUACGUUGCCUCGGCGGAUCAGCCCGCGCCCUGUAAAAAGGGACGGCCCGCCCGAGGACCCCUAAACUCUGUUUUUAGUGGAACUUCUGAGUAAAACAAACAAAUAAAUCAAAACUUUCAACAACGGAUCU